UACGUAGGGUGCGAGCGUUGUCCGGAAUUAUUGGGCGUAAAGGGCUCGUAGGCGGCUUGUCGCGUCGGGAGUGAAAUCACUGGGCUUAACCGAGUGCUUGCUUUCGAUACGGGCAGACUUGAGGCAUUGAGGGGAGAACGGAAUUCCUGGUGUAGCGGUGAAAUGCGCAGAUAUCAGGAGGAACACCGGUGGCGAAGGCGGUUCUCUAGUACGGUACUGACGCUGAGACGCGAAAGCGUGGGGAGCGAACAGG
This 253-nucleotide ribosomal RNA is filed under the name uncultured bacterium. RNAcentral describes it as "partial 16S ribosomal RNA". It matches the Rfam family "Bacterial small subunit ribosomal RNA", at positions 524 to 776 of the family's 1533-position model. The record is from RNAcentral.